GGACUACUGGGGUUUCUAAUCCUGUUUGCUACCCACGCUUUCGCGCCUCAGCGUCAGUUGUCGUCCAGGUGGCCGCCUUCGCCACUGGUGUUCCUCCCAAUAUCUACGAAUUUCACCUCUACACUGGGAAUUCCACCACCCUCUCGCGACACUCAAGAAAAACAGUUUCGAAUGCACUUCCCAGGUUAAGCCCGGGGCUUUCACAUUCGACUUAUCUCUCCGCCUACGCGCCCUUUACGCCCAAUAAUUCCGAACAACGCUUGCACCCUCUGUCUUACCGCGGCUGCUGGCAC
RNAcentral lists this ribosomal RNA (293 nucleotides) under uncultured bacterium. RNAcentral's name for it is "partial 16S ribosomal RNA". The record is from RNAcentral.